CAAUAAUUUAAGAACACUCUUUAAUCACUGAAACAUUCCUCUUUCAGCCCAGAAAAUACCGGCAUCAAUCCAGGUGCUGUGAUUUGUGAACUAAGGAUAGACUCCUGGGACACAUCCAGAUUGAUCCCCUUCUACACAUUCACUAUCCUCCAGGCAGGAAACACAGAACAUGAAGCUAGCCCAAUCUCCAACUUUAUCUUAUAUUUUUUUGAAAUAGUGUAUAUUUAAUCGGGUUGUAAUUAUCUUUUAAGUGAGACCUUUAUGAAGAUCUAGGAAGUUCUCUGCGA
This 287-nucleotide long non-coding RNA is filed under the name Lepisosteus oculatus (spotted gar). RNAcentral's name for it is "lncRNA (ENSLOCG00000021734.1)". Lineage: Eukaryota; Metazoa; Chordata; Actinopteri; Semionotiformes; Lepisosteidae. The record is from RNAcentral.